GGUCCGUUGGUCAAGGGGUUAAGACACCGCCUUUUCACGGCGGUAACACGGGUUCGAAUCCCGUACGCGUCA
This 72-nucleotide transfer RNA is filed under the name Caudoviricetes sp. Its description in RNAcentral is "tRNA-Glu". It matches the Rfam family "tRNA". From Rfam's summary of the family: Transfer RNA (tRNA) molecules are approximately 80 nucleotides in length. The record is from RNAcentral. Lineage: Duplodnaviria; Heunggongvirae; Uroviricota; Caudoviricetes.